CGCCCAAGGGGGAGAUCAGACCGCCCCCUAUUCCUGCCGUGUAACGAUGCCCACUAUCGAAUCCCGUGCCGUUUGCCGCCUUGAGCCCAGGGAACAGAACCCUCGGAGAACCGGACCCGGAGUGGCCCAAAUAAACUAAAAGGAUAGGAAAGGGCCCCCAGGUGGAGCCUGCGCUUAAUUUGACUCAACACGGGAAAACUCACCCGGCCCGGACACCGUAAGGAUUGACAGAUUGAUAGCUUUUUCAUGAUUCGGUGGUUGGUGGUGCAUGGCCGUUCUUAGUUCGUGGAUCGAUUUGUCUGGUUUAUUCCGAUAACGAGCGAGACUCUAGCCUACUAACUAGUGCGGGGCAUUGCCUCUGUGCUGUCUUCUUAGAGGGAUCAGCUGCAUCUAAGCAGACGAAAUUGAGCAAUAACAGGUCUGUGAUGCCCUUAGAUGUCCGGGGCUACGCGCGCUACACUGGCAAAGGCAGCGUGUUGUCCGUUUCCGAAAGGAAUCGGUAAACCCUUGAAAAUUUGCCGUGAUUGGGAUCGGAAAUGCAAUUAUUUU
RNAcentral lists this ribosomal RNA (549 nucleotides) under Tylenchulus semipenetrans. RNAcentral's name for it is "bacterial SSU rRNA". The stretch from base 147 to 549 matches the Rfam family "Eukaryotic small subunit ribosomal RNA", at positions 1158 to 1596 of the family's 1831-position model. Lineage: Eukaryota; Metazoa; Nematoda; Chromadorea; Rhabditida; Tylenchulidae. The record is from RNAcentral.